This is a small nuclear RNA of Jaculus jaculus (lesser Egyptian jerboa), 107 nucleotides long. The record is from Ensembl. NCBI's taxonomy places the organism in Eukaryota, Metazoa, Chordata, Mammalia, Rodentia, Dipodidae.
GAGCUCACUUCAGUAGCUCAUACACUAAAAUUGGAGGGAUACAGAGGAGAUUACCAUGGACCCUGUGUGAGGAUGACAUGCAAACUCAUGAAGCAUUUCCUAUUUUA